CGUAGGGUGCAAGCGUUGUCCGGAAUUAUUGGGCGUAAAGAGCUCGUAGGCGGUUUGUCGCGUCUGCUGUGAAAACUGGAGGCUCAACCUCCAGCCUGCAGUGGGUACGGGCAGACUAGAGUGCGGUAGGGGAGAUUGGAAUUCCUGGUGUAGCGGUGGAAUGCGCAGAUAUCAGGAGGAACACCGAUGGCGAAGGCAGAUCUCUGGGCCGUAACUGACGCUGAGGAGCGAAAGCGUGGGGGAGCGAACAGGAUUAGAUACCCUGGUAGUCCACGCCGUAAACGUUGGGAACUAGAUGUGGGGUCCAUUCCACGGAUUCCGUGUCGCAGCUAACGCAUUAAGUUCCCCGCCUGGGGAGUACGGCCGCAAGGCUA
This 374-nucleotide ribosomal RNA is filed under the name uncultured organism. RNAcentral's name for it is "bacterial SSU rRNA". It matches the Rfam family "Bacterial small subunit ribosomal RNA", at positions 526 to 896 of the family's 1533-position model. The record is from RNAcentral.